Molecule: long non-coding RNA, 2189 nt
Filed under: Pongo abelii (Sumatran orangutan)
Lineage: Eukaryota; Metazoa; Chordata; Mammalia; Primates; Hominidae
Description: lincRNA
Source: RNAcentral
AAUGUCUGGGCAGGGGCUGUAAAAUUGGAACAGGUCCCCCCUCAAUCCUUAAUGUGGUGGCAGAGACCCCUGAGGGGAUGUGCAGAGGGCCUUGGUUCUCAGCUGGGCUGUGGAGCUGGGCCCUCAGGGAGUUUUGCAUACCCACGAAGCUGCUCUCUCAGGCUCCUCUGGCAGGGAGCGUCAGGAUGAGAAUCCAGACCUGACUGCCACCCAGCCCUCUCACUUUGCAGAUGCAAAAAUCCAGACUCAGAAAGGGAAGUAACUUCUCCAACAGGGCGGGGUCUGAAGCCCAGGGUCACGACCCCACCAAGCUGGCCCUGCAGGAGCCUCCUGAGAGGUGUCUCGGGAGCAGACCCAGGGGAAGGGGGCACUGUGCACCCUUGCUGGGUAGGCAAAAGUCUGUCUGCUUCUUGGCAGCUGUGUGGCUUCAAAGCCCAGAGAGCAGGAACUGAAGACUGAGCAAGCCACCCCUCUCCUGUCCCAGACCCACCUGAACCCACCAAAGCUGGGAAAGGAGGGGUAGUGGAGACUCCAGAAAAACAGGAAAAAUUUAAACACAACCACUAAGUAAAGCGUCAUUAACUCCUGUUGUGCUGAGCCCACAAACAGCCCCAGCACUCACUGUUCUACUGUCUGUUGCUGUGCAUUUGACAACUCUAGGGACCUCAUCAUAGAAUCAUGAAUGGAGUCUCUAUGAGGGCAGGGAUGUUGGUUGGCUGUAUCCUCGGGCUGGAAGAGCACCGGCACGCAGCAGGCACUGAAUAGAAUUUCUAAAUAUACAAACGGAUGAACCAAUGGAUGGAUGGAUGAAUGAAGACCCUGUAUAGGUCAGUGCCUCAAAUGUCUGUGCCUCGCCUGGAGUUAUGUCCCUCACCCCCACUGUAGAUUAACUCCUCGUCCCACCCUACAGCUUUGGAACUGAAGCCCUAGGCCCACCACCCCUGAGAGGUAGCAGUGCUCAGCGUGGCAGGACGCCCCACUUGAUGGUAGGCUUCUCCCAGAUGGCUAACUGCUUCAAGUCUUUCCCCCAGAUGUAACAUGUCUAUGGGAGGAUUAUGACAUGGGCAGAUGAGAGUCCCCAGCCAUGGAGGUGACAAUGUGCCCUGGAGCCUCACAGGGCAGCAGCCACCAGGAAGAGGCAUGGAGGCCAGGAAGGUCCUGAACACUAGAAUUCGGCCAACAGAGCCUGAAGCCAGCACAUCGUGGAGGGGCAGCAGCCUGGGGGCAUUCGGGAGAUCUGGAGACAUGGCAGCUGGUCAGGAGCUGGGCUACAACCUUGACAAUCACUAACCUCUCACCUCCUCGUCCUGCCAGGCUAUUUAUAGCCUCCCUGUCUCUGAAAACUCCUUCACCCAUUUUUCUGAGCUUAACAAGCUUGGUGAAUUGAAAUCAGGUGGACCACCUCCCCAACCUCAGCAAGCCUGCUGGGGUGACUGCAUUCAGGCCAGGCCUGCUGGCAGCUCCUGCUCCAUGACAGGGACCCUUGAGGGCCUGCUGAGAGUCACAGGGUUGGGGUGUCCCCGGGAAGGUGGCAUCUAAAGAGAGGGCAGCAGCUGGGCACCCAGGCAGACCUCAGCCAGAGAUGCUGGACGAUGGUGACCCCAGAAGGGCUCAGCUCACCCCAGGCCUCCUCCCUGCUUCAGGAAAAACAAACAGAUUGGGACAGUGGAAAAACAGCUGUACCUUUAAAUUAUCUGGCCCACAGAUAUGAAAAACAUUUGCAUGCUGAAGCUGUUUGCAUCUUCGGUUAUUUUUAGGGUGAACCCAGUUGCCUCCCCUUGGAACCGGAUGAAGCCCCAGAGGCACGUAGUCCUUUUUCCCAGACGGGGGUCCUGGUCCUGUUUCCCUGGGAAUAAGGCUUGAGCAUGAGCUCUCUGGGACCCAGCCCCGGACCAGAACCACACGGUGCAUUCAGGCUCAGGAGGAACUGGAGCACCAGGGAGCCAAGGCUGCAACUUUGAACAUUUGCCACUGCUGACAUCGUGGCCACCCACCUGGGGCCAGAAAGAGCCCCUCUGCUGCCCCCAGAGCAUGGGUGAAGAGAUGAACGCUUAGCCUACUGCCUCCUCUCAUGCCAGGCCCAGCUGAUGGGAUAUUUUGCUGAGAUAUUUCUAGCGCCAGCAGCAAUUAAAGCAGAUUUUCUCUUCCACUCCCCUUCCCCAAAACAAGAAUAAAUCAGUUCUACCAAU